Molecule: ribosomal RNA, 258 nt
Filed under: uncultured bacterium
Lineage: Bacteria
Description: partial 16S ribosomal RNA
Rfam family: Bacterial small subunit ribosomal RNA
Source: RNAcentral
CGGGUGAGUAACACGUGAGUGACCUGCCUUUUAGACUGGAACAACUUACCGAAAGGUGAGCUAAUGCCGGAUGAGUUAUAUAAGUGCAUGUUUAUAUAGGAAAAGUUGGGGAGACCUGACGCUGAAAGAUGGACUCGCGUCCCAUUAGCUAGUUGGUAGGGUAAUGGCCUAUCAAGGCGACGAUGGGUAGCCGGCCUGAGAGGGUGACCGGCCACACUGGGACUGAGACACGGCCCAGACUCCUACGGGAGGCAGCAG